CCCGUAUCGCGGCGGACGGGUGAGUAACACGUGGAUAACCUACCUAUAAGACUGGGAUAACUUCGGGAAACCGGAGCUAAUACCGGAUAACAUAUUGAACCGCAUGGUUCAAUAGUGAAAGGCGGCUUUGCUGUCACUUAUAGAUGGAUCCGCGCCGUAUUAGCUAGUUGGUAAGGUAACGGCUUACCAAGGCAACGAUACGUAGCCGACCUGAGAGGGUGAUCGGCCACACUGGAACUGAGACACGGUCCAGACUCCUACGGGAGGCAGCAGUAGGGAAUCUUCCGCAAUGGGCGAAAGCCUGACGGAGCAACGCCGCGUGAGUGAUGAAGGUCUUCGGAUCGUAAAACUCUGUUAUCAGGGAAGAACAAAUGUGUAAGUAACUGUGCACAUCUUGACGGUACCUGAUCAGAAAGCCACGGCUAACUACGUGCCAGCAGCCGCGGUAAUACGUAGGUGGCAAGCGUUAUCCGGAAUUAUUGGGCGUAAAGCGCGCGUAGGCGGUUUUUUAAGUCUGAUGUGAAAGCCCACGGCUCAACCGUGGAGGGUCAUUGGAAACUGGAAAACUUGAGUGCAGAAGAGGAAAGUGGAAUUCCAUGUGUAGCGGUGA
Molecule: ribosomal RNA, 610 nt
Filed under: Staphylococcus warneri
Lineage: Bacteria; Bacillati; Bacillota; Bacilli; Caryophanales; Staphylococcaceae
Description: bacterial SSU rRNA
Rfam family: Bacterial small subunit ribosomal RNA
Source: RNAcentral